Molecule: ribosomal RNA, 775 nt
Filed under: uncultured Neocallimastigales
Lineage: Eukaryota; Fungi; Neocallimastigomycota; Neocallimastigomycetes; Neocallimastigales
Description: partial large subunit ribosomal RNA
Rfam family: Eukaryotic large subunit ribosomal RNA
Source: RNAcentral
AUAUCAGUCAUGCAUAGCAUAUCAAUAAGCGGAGGAAAAGAAACUAACAAGGAUUCCCUUAGUAACGGCGAGUGAAGCGGGAAGAGCUCAAAUUUGAAAUCUUCAAGGUUCUACCUUGACGAAUUGUAGUUUAUAGAAGUGUUUUCUGUUAGUAGAGUGGCAAAAGUUCUUUGGAAUAGGACAUCAUAGAGGGUGAGAAUCCCGUAUUUGGUCAUUCCUUCCUAGCUUUGUGAUACACUUUCAACGAGUCGGAUUGUUUGGGAAUGCAGUCCAAAAUGGGUGGUAAAUUUCAUCUAAAGCUAAAUAUUGGCGAGAGACCGAUAGCGAACAAGUACCGUGAGGGAAAGAUGAAAAGAACUUUGAAAAGAGAGUUAAACAGUACGUGAAAUUGUCAAAAGGGAAGCGUUUGACACCAGUGUUGUUUUUCCGAAAAUCAAUUACGAAUGUUUUGUUUUUGAGAAGUUAUGACUUCAUCGGCUUGCUUCUCUCUUUAUCGAAACUUUCUUAAUGCACUUUUCGGUUAACAAGUCAACAUCAAUUUCUUUUGUUGUAAAAGGGUAUGAGGAAGGUGGCUUUCUUUUCGGAGAAAGUGUUUAUAGCCUUGUACCUCUGCAAUCGGAGAGAUUGAGGUCUGCAGCGUAGAUCCUUCGGGGUUAGAUACAUUUGUGCUAAGUUAUAGCUUUUCAUAGACAACUUGUUGACUAUGUUAGUCUUGUAGCUUACUCGCUGAUGCUAUUUUACCUACGCUUAGGAUGUUGAUCUCUCACAGUCGAGC